This 505-nucleotide ribosomal RNA is filed under the name uncultured bacterium. Its description in RNAcentral is "partial 16S ribosomal RNA". It matches the Rfam family "Bacterial small subunit ribosomal RNA", at positions 28 to 507 of the family's 1533-position model. The record is from RNAcentral.
GACGAACGCUGGCGGCGUGCCUAAUACAUGCAAGUAGAACGCACAGUUUAUACCGUAGCUUGCUACACCAUAGACUGUGAGUUGCGAACGGGUGAGUAACGCGUAGGUAACCUGCCUGGUAGCGGGGGAUAACUAUUGGAAACGAUAGCUGAUACCGCAUAAUAUUGAUUAUUGCAUGAUAAUUGAUUGAAAGAUGCUAUUGCAUCACUACCAGAUGGACCUGCGUUGUAUUAGCUAGUAGGUGAGGUAACGGCUCACCUAGGCGACGAUACAUAGCCGACCUGAGAGGGUGAUCGGCCACACUGGGACUGGGACACGGCCCAGACUCCUACGGGAGGCAGCAGUAGGGAAUCUUCGGCAAUGGACGAAAGUCUGACCGAGCAACGCCGCGUGAGUGAAGAAGGUUUUCGGAUCGUAAAGCUCUGUUGUAAGAGAAGAACGGGUGUGAGAGUGGAAAGUUCACACUGUGACGGUAUCUUACCAGAAAGGGACGGCUAACUACGUG